This 465-nucleotide ribosomal RNA is filed under the name Vreelandella stevensii. RNAcentral describes it as "partial 16S ribosomal RNA". It matches the Rfam family "Bacterial small subunit ribosomal RNA", at positions 338 to 795 of the family's 1533-position model. Lineage: Bacteria; Pseudomonadati; Pseudomonadota; Gammaproteobacteria; Oceanospirillales; Halomonadaceae. The record is from RNAcentral.
CCUACGGGUGGCAGCAGUGGGGAAUAUUGGACAAUGGGGGCAACCCUGAUCCAGCCAUGCCGCGUGUGUGAAGAAGGCCCUCGGGUUGUAAAGCACUUUCAGUGAGGAAGAACGCCUGGUGGUUAAUACCCAUCAGGAAAGACAUCACUCACAGAAGAAGCACCGGCUAACUCCGUGCCAGCAGCCGCGGUAAUACGGAGGGUGCGAGCGUUAAUCGGAAUUACUGGGCGUAAAGCGCGCGUAGGUGGCUUGAUAAGCCGGUUGUGAAAGCCCCGGGCUCAACCUGGGAACGGCAUCCGGAACUGUCAAGCUAGAGUGCAGGAGAGGAAGGUAGAAUUCCCGGUGUAGCGGUGUAAUGCGUAGAGAUCGGGAGGAAUACCAGUGGCGAAGGCGGCCUUCUGGACUGACACUGACACUGAGGUGCGAAGGCGUGGGUAGCAAACAGGAUUAGAUACCCCGGUAGUC